Molecule: long non-coding RNA, 1151 nt
Organism: Ochlerotatus camptorhynchus
Lineage: Eukaryota; Metazoa; Arthropoda; Insecta; Diptera; Culicidae
Exons: 4
Source: RefSeq, a predicted model, not a curated record
AGGUUACAGGUUACAUGUUACAUUGCGACAAUUUAUAAGGUACAUAAUUGUGACAACCGCAGAAACAACAAGUGAAAUCGCAAACAUUGCCUAACAACGACGGCCGACAACCCCACGUUUAUGAAACUGAUCGAACUUCCCAAACUUAAUUUAAAAACGAGUGGCUCAUCCCGAAGCAGAAGCUACAAGAGUUACUAAUCCUGGCUGUCGCAUCCCCCCUCAUUGUUGUAGUAGUGGAUGCUGCUUACCACGACAGACAAACCGCAAUCUCCGGCCCGGGGGCGCAUAAAUCAUUAGCAUGAGUUCCUACCGGUGGACGGUGCACCAGCAACAAGGGACUCCAACGGCGGCCGGUACCAGUAGUGUCAUAAUUUACAACCAAUAUACCAACAAUCACAUUGUCUGAACAAGCAAGCAAACAACGGAAGAAGAAUAGUCCACGCAAGAAGCGAAAAACAACAAUUUUAGUGUUUGUGAUUUAUUUAUGUCCCCUUGUUAAGUGUAAAUAGUUAUAAAAAGGUGAAACGCUCCAAAGUUAAACGAGAAAGAUAGAAAGAGAAGUUUUUGCCUUCCUUAGUUCAUGUUACCAUUAUUGUUGUAGAUGUUGUAAAUAAGCUCUGCUGUUUUGUUGAACGUGAUUGUAAACGUGUUGCGCAGAAUUAUUGCAUUGCAACCAGGAAGUUUCGCAUCACUGCUAGUCUCCAGUUAGUGAUUUUGUUUUGUUCGAUUUUUUUAAGGCUGCAGCAACGCCAUCGGGAGUGUAAGUGGAAACUAAAGCGAAGAAAUUAAUGAGAGAAGUUGUGCAGAGUGCAAGAAAAAUAGUUUAAAAGAAAAGUUUUUCCAACCGACUCCGGGUUGUCAGCGAAUCAACACGUGCCUGGGACUUGUAACAGUUGAAAAAGUCAACGUCAGCCCACUUGAACCGAAGCCGGGUAGAAAUCCAACUCAAAAUGGAAACGGAGGAAAUUAUCAAGCUCGUCGACGGGAUCUAUAAGAACAUCCUCGAGAAGUUCAACCCCGGAGCGCGGCAGCUGAUCAGUGCCGGUAAGGCCUACCUGAAAGCCCUCCACGGAGCGUCGGCGGCGUCCAAUCUGUUCAACGAAGCCCUGGCCAAAAUCGCUGUCAAUGCACAGCAAGGAGGCACCAUCGAU